CGCGUAGGCGGUCGAGUAAGUCGGUUGUGAAAGCCCCUGGCUUAACCAGGGAAGUGCAGCCGAAACUGCCUGACUAGAGGCCGGGAGAGGAGAGUGGAAUUCCCAGUAUAGCGGUGAAAUGCGUAGAUAUUGGGAGGAACACCUGUGGCGAAGGCGGCUCUCUGGACCGGUUCUGACGCUGAAGCGCGAAAGCUAGGGGAGCAAACA
RNAcentral lists this ribosomal RNA (207 nucleotides) under uncultured bacterium. Its description in RNAcentral is "partial 16S ribosomal RNA". It matches the Rfam family "Bacterial small subunit ribosomal RNA", at positions 568 to 774 of the family's 1533-position model. The record is from RNAcentral.